UGGGGAAUCUUGCGCAAUGGGCGAAAGCCUGACGCAGCAACGCCGCGUGGAGGAUGAAGGCCCUUGGGUUGUAAACUCCUGUCGGCUGGGAAGAAAUCGUACGGUGCUCAUACCACCGUGCGUUGACUGUACCAGCAAAGGAAGCCCCGGCUACCUCUGUGCCCGCAGCCGCGGUAAUACAGAGGGGGCUAGCGUUAUUCGGAAUUAUUGGGCGUAAAGGGCGCGUAGGCGGCCAUGCGUGUCUUCCGUGAAAUCCCUCGGCUUAACUGAGGACGUGCGGAAGAAACUGCAAGGCUCGAGUCCGGGAGAGGGGGGUGGAAUUCCCAGUGUAGCGGUGAAAUGCGUAGAUAUUGGGAGGAACACCGGUGGCGAAGGCGGCCCCCUGGACCGGUACUGACGCUGAGGCGCGAAAGCGUGGGUAGCAAAC
Molecule: ribosomal RNA, 427 nt
Filed under: uncultured bacterium
Lineage: Bacteria
Description: bacterial SSU rRNA
Rfam family: Bacterial small subunit ribosomal RNA
Source: RNAcentral